This is a non-coding RNA of Paramuricea clavata, 73 nucleotides long. NCBI's taxonomy places the organism in Eukaryota, Metazoa, Cnidaria, Anthozoa, Malacalcyonacea, Plexauridae. The record is from the annotation of a GenBank genome assembly.
GACCGCGUAGCUCAGUUGGAAGAGCAUUGGGCUAGUAUUCCAAAGGUCGUAGGUUCGAAUCCCACCGUGGCCG